Transfer RNA from Cladophialophora immunda, 88 nucleotides. It matches the Rfam family "tRNA". From Rfam's summary of the family: Transfer RNA (tRNA) molecules are approximately 80 nucleotides in length. Their secondary structure includes four short double-helical elements and three loops (D, anti-codon, and T loops). Lineage: Eukaryota; Fungi; Ascomycota; Eurotiomycetes; Chaetothyriales; Herpotrichiellaceae. The record is from Rfam.
GCCUUCAUAGCUCAGCGGUAGAGCGCGACACUAGUAGCCCCUAUCUACUGGAAUGUCGAGGUCUUGAGUUCGACUCUCAAUGGAGGCA